GGCGGAUGUGGCCAAGUGAUCAAGGCAGUGGAUUGUGAAUCCACCAUGCGCGAAGGGCGAAUUCGCGCCGCUAAAUUCAA
Molecule: transfer RNA, 80 nt
Filed under: Pimpinella flabellifolia
Lineage: Eukaryota; Viridiplantae; Streptophyta; Magnoliopsida; Apiales; Apiaceae
Description: partial tRNA-His
Rfam family: tRNA (bases 2-52)
About the family: Transfer RNA (tRNA) molecules are approximately 80 nucleotides in length. Their secondary structure includes four short double-helical elements and three loops (D, anti-codon, and T loops).
Source: RNAcentral